UUGAAUUUUAAUGAAGAGUUUGGUUGUAGCUGGCCCAUUCAUUUGGGCAUGUGCACACCUUCCUCUUUCAUCCCACCCACACCUGUGAACCUGUGAGACAGAGAUGGGGAAUUUACUUGCUGCUUUUUGGAAUACAAAGGCAAUAGGUUAUUGGACCCCCCCUCUGUCUACUCAAUUAAUAUAAACUCAAUUUAUUUUAAAACGAAUGUAAUGGAUGUAACACAUCUCAUAC
RNAcentral lists this unclassified non-coding RNA (232 nucleotides) under soil metagenome. RNAcentral's name for it is "partial internal transcribed spacer 1". The record is from RNAcentral.